GACGAACGCUGGCGGAGUGCUUAACACAUGCAAGUCGAACGAAGUGGCGAACGGGUGAGUAACGCGUAAUCAACCUGCCCUUCAGCGGGGGACAACAGUAGGAAACGACUGCUAAUACCGCAUACUGAAGGAGGGGCUUGCGGCGGAUUAGCUAGUUGGAGGGGUAACGGCCCCCCAAGGUGAUGAUCAGUAGCCGGUCUGAGAGGAAUAACGGCCAACUGUGGACUUUGACACUGCCCAGACUCCUACGGGAGGCAGCAGUGGGGAAUCUUCCGAAAUGGACGAAAGUCUGACGGAGCAACGCCGCGUUAGUGAUGACGGCCUUCGGGUUGUAAAGCUCUGUUAUGCGGGACGCGGUACCGGAAUAGAAAGCCACGGCUAACUACGUGCCAGCAGCCGCGGUAAUAC
RNAcentral lists this ribosomal RNA (408 nucleotides) under uncultured bacterium. RNAcentral describes it as "partial 16S ribosomal RNA". It matches the Rfam family "Bacterial small subunit ribosomal RNA", at positions 28 to 526 of the family's 1533-position model. The record is from RNAcentral.